AUUGAACGCUGGCGGCAGGCCUAACACAUGCAAGUCGAGCGGAUGAAGGGAGCUUGCUCCUGGAUUCAGCGGCGGACGGGUGAGUAAUGCCUAGGAAUCUGCCUGGUAGUGGGGGAUAACGUCCGGAAACGGGCGCUAAUACCGCAUACGUCCUGAGGGAGAAAGUGGGGGAUCUUCGGACCUCACGCUAUCAGAUGAGCCUAGGUCGGAUUAGCUAGUUGGUGGGGUAAAGGCCUACCAAGGCGACGAUCCGUAACUGGUCUGAGAGGAUGAUCAGUCACACUGGAACUGAGACACGGUCCAGACUCCUACGGGAGGCAGCAGUGGGGAAUAUUGGACAGUUGGCGAAAGCCUGAUCCAGCCAUGCCGCGUGUGUGAAGAAGGUCUUCGGAUUGUAAAGCACUUUAAGUUGGGAGGAAGGUCAGUAAGUUAAUACCUUGCUGUUUUGACGUUACCAACAGAAUAAGCACCGGCUAACUUCGUG
RNAcentral lists this ribosomal RNA (484 nucleotides) under uncultured bacterium. RNAcentral's name for it is "partial 16S ribosomal RNA". It matches the Rfam family "Bacterial small subunit ribosomal RNA", at positions 30 to 507 of the family's 1533-position model. The record is from RNAcentral.